Molecule: long non-coding RNA, 988 nt
Organism: Stylophora pistillata
Lineage: Eukaryota; Metazoa; Cnidaria; Anthozoa; Scleractinia; Pocilloporidae
Source: RefSeq, a predicted model, not a curated record
GAUAUAAAUUGCCAGAGGGAUGCCAUUGAGAAAACUGGAAUAGUGGAUGAUGGAAGAUGCUUUAAAGUUAAAUUUGCAGGAAUGUGCCUGUCCUGAUGUUCCUCGCGAGGAAGCCUGUGCUGAAUGUUUCCCAAAGAGCAAGGCAAAUAUUGGGGGAUGGAAGGGUUUAAGAGAUGAUUUGCUGUUUCUCCUUGAAGAGGAGCUAUGUGAUGUUAAUUUAUGUUCUCUGCAUGCAAUGUAUAACAUUUGAGUUUGAGUGUGCACCCACUGUAGUAUGGCACAGUCAACAUUGUUUUAUUUUAAAGAAAUCUGUUUUCUUGAAGUUUAAUACUGUAAUAAUAUUCUUUUCUUUCGUGUUGCCUGAUCACUUCUGAGAUAUAUAUUUAUUUGUCAUAUUUCUUAGAUUAAUAGAGCAUUCAGCAUAAUGCCUGAGUGCUUCUGGGAUAUAUAGCAAACUUAUAGUUUUUCGUUCAUAGUUAAUAUAGGGACGUGUUGUCUGUCCUUUCUGGUUCACCCAGGCUGAAGUCCUAGCAUUCAGAGUAAUGCCUGAGUGCUUCUGGGAUAUAUGACAUACUUAGUUUUUCAUUCAUGGUUAAUAUAGGAAAGUGUUGUCUAUCCUUACUGGUUUCCAGGCUGAAGUGCUGGCAUUAAGCAUAAUGCCUGAGUACUUCUGGGAUAUAUAGCAUACUUACCUUUUUUUCAUGGUUAAUAUAGGGAAGUGUUGUCUAUCCUUUCUGGUUCACCCAGGCUGAAGUCCUGGCAUUCAGAGUAAUGCCUGAGUGCCUGUGAGAUAUAUAAGAUACUUAGCUUUUCAUUCAGGGUCAGUGUAGGGAAGUGUUGUCUAUCCUUUCUGGUUCACCCAAGCUGAAGUCGUGGCAUUCUAUGUAAUGCCUGAGUGCUUCUGGGAUAUAGAACAUACUUAGUUUUCAUUCAUGGUUAAUAUAGGGUAGUGUUGUCUAUCCUUUCUGGUUCACCCAGGCUGAAGUCC